RNAcentral lists this ribosomal RNA (562 nucleotides) under uncultured bacterium. RNAcentral's name for it is "bacterial SSU rRNA". It matches the Rfam family "Bacterial small subunit ribosomal RNA", at positions 338 to 916 of the family's 1533-position model. The record is from RNAcentral.
CCUACGGGAGGCAGCAGUGGGGGAAUCUUGCGCAAUGGGCGAAAGCCUGACGCAGCCAUGCCGCGUGAAUGAUGAAGGUCUUAGGAUUGUAAAAUUCUUUCACCGGGGACGAUAAUGACGGUACCCGGAGAAGAAGCCCCGGCUAACUUCGUGCCAGCAGCCGCGGUAAUACGAAGGGGGGCUAGCGUUGCUCGGAAUUACUGGGCGUAAAGGGAGCGUAGGCGGAUAGUUUAGUCAGAGGUGAAAGCCCAGGGCUCAACCUUGGAAUUGCCUUUGAUACUGGCUAUCUUGAGUAUGGGAGAGGUUAGCGGAACUCCGAGUGUAGAGGUGAAAUUCGUAGAUAUUCGGAAGAACACCAGUGGCGAAGGCGGCUAACUGGCCCAUUACUGACGCUGAGGCUCGAAAGCGUGGGGAGCAAACAGGAUUAGAUACCCUGGUAGUCCACGCCGUAAACGAUGAGUGCUAGUUGUCGGCAUGCAUGCAUGUCGGUGACGCAGCUAACGCAUUAAGCACUCCGCCUGGGGAGUACGGUCGCAAGAUUAAAACUCAAAGGAAUUGACGG